This 305-nucleotide ribosomal RNA is filed under the name uncultured bacterium. RNAcentral's name for it is "bacterial SSU rRNA". It matches the Rfam family "Bacterial small subunit ribosomal RNA", at positions 333 to 638 of the family's 1533-position model. The record is from RNAcentral.
GGGCCCUCGGGGGGCAGCAGUGAGGAAUAUUGGUCAAUGGGCGGGAGCCUGAACCAGCCAAGCCGCGUGAGGGAAGAAGGUACAGCGUAUCGUAAACCUCUUUUGUCAGGGAACAAAGGCGGGGACUAGUCCCCGGAUGAGGGUACCUGAAGAAAAAGCAUCGGCUAACUCCGUGCCAGCAGCCGCGGUAAUACGGAGGAUGCGAGCGUUAUCCGGAUUUAUUGGGUUUAAAGGGUGCGCAGGCGGCCUGUUAAGUCAGCGGUAAAAGCCCGGGGCUCAACCCCGUACUGCCGUUGAAACUGCAU